GACGAACGCUGGCGGCGUGCUUAACACAUGCAAGUCGAACGAUGAAGCCUAGCUUGCUAGGUGGAUUAGUGGCGAACGGGUGAGUAAUACGUGAGUGACCUACCUUUGACUCUGGGAUAAGCCUGGGAAACUGGGUCUAAUACCGGAUACGACCAAUCUCUGCAUGGGGUGUUGGUGGAAAGCGUUAUGGAGUGGUUUUAGAUGGGCUCACGGCCUAUCAGCUUGUUGGUGAGGUAAUGGCUUACCAAGGCGACGACGGGUAGCCGGCCUGAGAGGGUGACCGGCCACACUGGGACUGAGACACGGCCCAGACUCCUACGGGAGGCAGCAGUGGGGAAUAUUGCACAAUGGGCGCAAGCCUGAUGCAGCGACGCCGCGUGAGGGAUGACGGCCUUCGGGUUGUAAACCUCUGUUAGCAUCGAAGAAGCGAAAGUGACGGUAGGUGCAGAGAAAGCGCCGGCUAACUACGUGCCAGCAGCCGCGGUAAUACGUAGGGCGCGAGCGUUGUCCGGAAUUAUUGGGCGUAAAGAGCUUGUAGGCGGUUGGUCGCGUCUGCUGUGAAGGCCGGGGCUUAACUCCGGUUUUGCAGUGGGUACGGGCUAACUAGAGUGCAGUAGGGGAGACUGGAAUUCCUGGUGUAGCGGUGGAAUGCACAGAUAUCAGGAGGAACACCGAUGGCGAAGGCAGGUCUCUGGGCUGUAACUGACGCUGAGAAGCGAAAGCAUGGGGAGCGAACAGGAUUAGAUACCCUGGUAGUCCAUGCCGUAAACGUUGGGCACUAGGUGUGGGGGACAUUCCACGUUUUCCGCGCCGUAGUUAACGCAUUAAGUGCCCCGCCUGGGGAGUACGGCCGCAAGGCUAAAACUCAAAGGAAUUGACGGGGGCCCGCACAAGCGGCGGAGCAUGCGGAUUAAUUCGAUGCAACGCGAAGAACCUUACCAAGGCUUGACAUGCAUUAGAUCGCGUCAGAGAUGGCGUUUCCCUUCGGGGCUGGUGUACAGGUGGUGCAUGGUUGUCGUCAGCUCGUGUCGUGAGAUGUUGGGUUAAGUCCCGCAACGAGCGCAACCCUCGUUCUAUGUUGCCAGCGGUUCGGCCGGGGACUCAUAGGAGACUGCCGGGGUUAACUCGGAGGAAGGUGGGGAUGACGUCAAAUCAUCAUGCCCCUUAUGUCUUGGGCUUCACGCAUGCUACAAUGGCCGGUACAGAGGGUUGCGAUACUGCGAGGUGGAGCUAAUCCCUUAAAGCCGGUCUCAGUUCGGAUUGGGGUCUGCAACUCGACCCCAUGAAGUCGGAGUCGCUAGUAAUCGCAGAUCAGCAACGCUGCGGUGAAUACGUUCCCGGGCCU
This 1345-nucleotide ribosomal RNA is filed under the name uncultured bacterium. Its description in RNAcentral is "bacterial SSU rRNA". It matches the Rfam family "Bacterial small subunit ribosomal RNA", at positions 28 to 1381 of the family's 1533-position model. The record is from RNAcentral.